Molecule: ribosomal RNA, 441 nt
Filed under: uncultured bacterium
Lineage: Bacteria
Description: partial 16S ribosomal RNA
Rfam family: Bacterial small subunit ribosomal RNA
Source: RNAcentral
CCUACGGGAGGCUGCAGUGGGGGAUAUUGCACAAUGGGGGGAACCCUGAUGCAGCGACGCCGCGUGGGUGAAGGAGUGCUUCGGCAUGUAAAGCCCUAUCGGCAGGGAAGAAGCAAGACGGUACUUGACUAAGAAGCCCCGGCUAACUACGUGCCAGCAGCCGCGGUAAUACGUAGGGGGCGAGCGUUAUCCGGAUUCACUGGGUGGAAAGGGAGCGUAGACAGCCAUGCAAGCCAGGGGUGAAAGCCCGGGGCCCAACCCCGGGACUGCCCUUGGAACUGCAUGGCUGGAGUGCGGGAGGGGCAGGCGGAAUUCCUGGUGUAGCGGUGAAAUGCGUAGAUAUCAGGAGGAACACCGGCGGCGAAGGCGGCCUGCUGGACCGCGACUGACGUUGAGGCUCGAAAGCGUGGGGAGCGAACAGGAUUAGAUACCCUAGUAGUC